This 73-nucleotide transfer RNA is filed under the name Camelus bactrianus (Bactrian camel). It matches the Rfam family "tRNA". Rfam says of the family: Transfer RNA (tRNA) molecules are approximately 80 nucleotides in length. Their secondary structure includes four short double-helical elements and three loops (D, anti-codon, and T loops). Further hydrogen bonds mediate the characteristic L-shaped molecular structure. tRNAs have two regions of fundamental functional importance: the anti-codon, which is responsible for specific mRNA codon recognition, and the 3' end, to which the tRNAs corresponding amino acid is attached (by aminoacyl-tRNA synthetases). tRNAs cope with the degeneracy of the genetic code in two manners: having more than one tRNA (with a specific anti-codon) for a particular amino acid; and 'wobble' base-pairing, i.e. permitting non-standard base-pairing at the 3rd anti-codon position. The record is from Rfam by way of RNAcentral. Lineage: Eukaryota; Metazoa; Chordata; Mammalia; Artiodactyla; Camelidae. RNAcentral also lists the same sequence under 1 other name.
AGGGGUAUAGCUCAGUGGUACAGCUCAUGCUUAGCAUGCACUUAGGUCCUGGGUUCGAUCCCCAGUACCUCCG